This 255-nucleotide unclassified non-coding RNA is filed under the name Hevea brasiliensis (rubber tree). Lineage: Eukaryota; Viridiplantae; Streptophyta; Magnoliopsida; Malpighiales; Euphorbiaceae. The record is from RNAcentral.
UUCCCCCCCCCCGCCAUCACAAACUGAAGACAUUGAACAUUGGACUCGAGCCAUGUUUAUUGAUGCUACAAAGAAAUAAGCUGGUGAGAUUACAGCCUUCAUUUUUUUUUUUUUAAGUGAUAAUGAAGAUGCUCUAACAUGUUGAUACUUCGGAUCUUUGAUAGUUGUUGCGCACUUGUAAAUGUAACAAUUAAACCUUAGAUUUUGCACUUACAAACAUUGAUUAAUUCAGUGACAGAACUAGCAUAUGGUGCC